GCCGUGUUUUCGCCGGGCUUGGGCUCGGACUUGCUCUCCGACUUCGGGUCUUCCUUCGCGCCGGCGUUCGGUGCGCCGGGCUUGGCG
Molecule: transfer RNA, 87 nt
Filed under: Gemmata obscuriglobus
Lineage: Bacteria; Pseudomonadati; Planctomycetota; Planctomycetia; Gemmatales; Gemmataceae
Description: tRNA-Ala
Source: RNAcentral